Molecule: long non-coding RNA, 673 nt
Filed under: Scleropages formosus (Asian bonytongue)
Lineage: Eukaryota; Metazoa; Chordata; Actinopteri; Osteoglossiformes; Osteoglossidae
Description: lncRNA (ENSSFOG00015026202.1)
Source: RNAcentral
AAAAGCUUGAAUGUUCCCUGAUCUAUGUCUGCAUCUGUGUUACCUACAUAACAAAACGAUGUUGUCUCGAAAUCUUUUAAUGUUUUCAGCAAUGAUGUUCUUGGCUACCAGUGUUUCAGCUGCUCCAGUUGAAGAGAAGGAGGUGGAAGAAGCUGAGGUUGAACCAGAGGAAGGUGAAGAGGAGCUCUCUGAGGAAGAAGAUGAUGAUGACUCCAAGAGUCAGGAUUUGAAUAUGGGAGCUGGGGCACAGCUUUCUUCCACAGCGUCAAAAGAUCAGGGCACACUGGGUCAGCUUGAAGCUUCAUUUGAAGGCGAUCCGUUUAAUGGCCAGAAACUAAAUGGUGCUAAACCGACAGACGGAGGUGGUCAUGACCGUGGCACCGGGGGAGAUCCACAGGCCCCGCCCCCUGACAGCAGCCUUCAUGAGCCCAGUCUGUCAGCACAUGCGGCUUCCAGUGGCCAUACAAGUGUCGCAGGUGCAAGUGGAGGGGUGCCAGCUCAUGGCAGUGCAGCCAUACAGCCAGGGCAUCCAGAUCAAGCAGUUCUUCCAGCUCAGCCUGAAAUGUUCUUAAAUGGUGAUGCAUCUACCUUCAGUUUCAGCUCUCAAGUGGACUCUCCAGGUGAGACAACGGGCAAAUCAGGGUCGGGGUUAGUGUACGUCCCGGACAUAUAG